This 404-nucleotide ribosomal RNA is filed under the name uncultured bacterium. RNAcentral describes it as "bacterial SSU rRNA". It matches the Rfam family "Bacterial small subunit ribosomal RNA", at positions 355 to 776 of the family's 1533-position model. The record is from RNAcentral.
UGGGGAAUAUUGGACAAUGGGGGCAACCCUGAUCCAGCCAUGCCGCGUGAGUGAUGAAGGCCCUAGGGUUGUAAAGCUCUUUCACCGGUGAAGAUAAUGACGGUAACCGGAGAAGAAGCCCCGGCUAACUUCGUGCCAGCAGCCGCGGUAAUACGAAGGGGGCUAGCGUUGUUCGGAUUUACUGGGCGUAAAGCGCACGUAGGCGGAUAUUUAAGUCAGAGGUGAAAUCCCAGGGCUCAACCCUGGAACUGCCUUUGAUACUGGAUAUCUUGAGUGUGGAAGAGGUGAGUGGAAUUCCGAGUGUAGAGGUAAAAUUCGUAGAUAUUCGGAGGAACACCAGUGGCGAAGGCGGCUCACUGGUCCAUUACUGACGCUGAGGUGCGAAAGCGUGGGGAGCAAACAGG